RNAcentral lists this ribosomal RNA (253 nucleotides) under uncultured bacterium. RNAcentral's name for it is "partial 16S ribosomal RNA". It matches the Rfam family "Bacterial small subunit ribosomal RNA", at positions 524 to 776 of the family's 1533-position model. The record is from RNAcentral.
UACGUAGGGCGCAAGCGUUGUCCGGAAUUAUUGGGCGUAAAGAGCUCGUAGGCGGUUUGUCGCGUCUGUCGUGAAACCUUGGGGCUCAACCCCAAGCCUGCACUGGAUACUGUCGAGCUUGAGUCCGGGAGGGGAGAGCGGAAUUCCUAGUGUAGCGGUGAAAUGCGCAGAUAUUAGGAAGAACACCGGUGGCGAAGGCGGCUCUCUGGAACGGUACUGACGCUGAGACGCGAAAGCGUGGGGAGCGAACAGG